RNAcentral lists this ribosomal RNA (253 nucleotides) under uncultured bacterium. RNAcentral's name for it is "partial 16S ribosomal RNA". It matches the Rfam family "Bacterial small subunit ribosomal RNA", at positions 524 to 776 of the family's 1533-position model. The record is from RNAcentral.
UACAGAGGGGGCAAGCGUUGUUCGGAAUUACUGGGCGUAAAGGGCGCGUAGGCGGCCUUCUAAGUUGAACGUGAAAUCCCCGGGCUCAACCCGGGAACUGCGUCCAAGACUGGGAGGCUAGAAUCCGGGAGAGGGAUGUGGAAUUCCAGGUGUAGCGGUGAAAUGCGUAGAUAUCUGGAGGAAUACCGGUGGCGAAGGCGGCAUCCUGGACCGGCAUUGACGCUGAGGAGCGAAAGCUAGGGGAGCAAACGGG